AGAACGAACGCUGGCGGCAUGCCUAACACAUGCAAGUCGAACGAGACCUUCGGGUCUAGUGGCGCACGGGUGCGUAACGCGUGGGAAUCUGCCCUUGGGUUCGGAAUAACAGCGAGAAAUUGCUGCUAAUACCGGAUGAUGACGUAAGUCCAAAGAUUUAUCGACCCAAGGAUGAGCCCGCGUAGGAUUAGCUUGUGGUGAGGUAAGAGCUCACCAAGGCGACGAUCCGUUAGCUGGUACUGAGAGGAUGAUCGAGCCACACUGGGACUGAGACACGGCCCAGACUCCUACGGGAGGCAGGCAGGUGGGGAAUAGUUGGGACAAGUGGGGACGAAAGGCCUAGAGUCCAGGCAAUCGCCGCGUCGAGUGAUGAAGGCCGUUAGGGUUGUAAAG
Molecule: ribosomal RNA, 393 nt
Filed under: uncultured soil bacterium
Lineage: Bacteria
Description: bacterial SSU rRNA
Rfam family: Bacterial small subunit ribosomal RNA
Source: RNAcentral